This 299-nucleotide unclassified non-coding RNA is filed under the name fungal sp. Its description in RNAcentral is "partial internal transcribed spacer region". The stretch from base 1 to 46 matches the Rfam family "Eukaryotic small subunit ribosomal RNA", at positions 1786 to 1831 of the family's 1831-position model. Lineage: Eukaryota; Fungi. The record is from RNAcentral.
AAGUCGUAACAAGGCAACCGUAGGUGAACCUGCGGUUGGAUCAUUAAUGUAAUAAAUUUUUAUUAAUUAAUGGUUGAGCUUUUUUCUCUGAUCAAAAGGAGUAAAAGUUCACCAACACCCCAAAAAUUAUCUUGCUUCAAUUAUUUUGUCCUGGUUUUAGUGUUUAACAAAGUUAAGUUCCUUUAGAGGUUCCUGAUUUUGCUAAACACUACUACUAAUUAUAUAAACAUUUUAUUUUAUUAUUCAAGUUAUCUAUUAAAAAGAUAAAACAACUUUUGACAAUGGAUCUCUUGGCUCUC